RNAcentral lists this ribosomal RNA (253 nucleotides) under uncultured bacterium. RNAcentral describes it as "partial 16S ribosomal RNA". It matches the Rfam family "Bacterial small subunit ribosomal RNA", at positions 524 to 776 of the family's 1533-position model. The record is from RNAcentral.
UACGGGGGGGGCAAGCGUUGUUCGGAAUUACUGGGCGUAAAGGGUUUGUAGGUGGCUUGCUAAGUCAGACGUGAAAUCCCUCAGCUUAACUGGGGAACUGCGUCUGAUACUGGCGAGCUUGAGUGCAGGAGAGGAACGCGGAAUUCCAGGUGUAGCGGUGAAAUGCGUAGAUAUCGUAAGGAAGACCAGUGGCGAAGGCGAGUUUCUGGACAGUAACUGACGCUGAGGCACGAAGGCCAGGGGAGCAAACGGG